CCAGUCCAUUGUUUUAUUACUGACAAUACUGUUUUAAGCUAUAAUUAAUAAGAAAAACAAAAAUUUAUUCAAUUUCUAUAUUAAGGUAUACACGAUUACUAACAAUUACAACUUCAUGCCAUUGAGUGUCGGGCAAAUCCAAACUGAAAUCUGCUUUAUGGUAUUUUGCUUGGCUUUUUUGAGUUAUUGUUGCAAACUUGUAACCUAAAACAUAAGAGCGAUAACGAUUUAAUGCAAUCUUUGCCUUCCUCCAACUUAUAACUGGCAAUCUUAUCCGAAUCCCUACCACUAAAUACUGGCAACGAUAAUAAGGAUUUAAGCUCGCUACAAUACUUGUCCUUCUCUCAGACAUCACACUUAGUAAUCUACAUUAUUUCCUAACUAAAAACUAUUUACUANAUGCAGAUCGUUUAUAAAAUAGGCUGCUGAAAAAUACAAUCCUGUUUAAUCCUUGCACUUUAGCGAAACAACUUCGGGUUUUAUCGAAAGCUUGCUUUUGCUUCUAGACAUUUUUCUUAAUAUCAACAGAUCUCAACUUAACCCAGAAAUUUUAACUUCUUGUGUUUCACAUUCCAACAAUUACUUUA
Molecule: unclassified non-coding RNA, 587 nt
Filed under: Borreliella burgdorferi (Lyme disease spirochete)
Lineage: Bacteria; Pseudomonadati; Spirochaetota; Spirochaetia; Spirochaetales; Borreliaceae
Description: partial may contain 16S ribosomal RNA and 16S-23S ribosomal RNA intergenic spacer
Source: RNAcentral